Oncorhynchus tshawytscha (Chinook salmon) is the source of this 836-nucleotide long non-coding RNA. NCBI's taxonomy places the organism in Eukaryota, Metazoa, Chordata, Actinopteri, Salmoniformes, Salmonidae. The record is from Ensembl.
CUUUAGGUGUAGUAUAACGUUAGCUAGAUAAGUGAGCGUUCAUAAAAGAUUUCAGAGAACUCUUGUCUGAGUGUGCCAGAGCGAAGAAUAAGUGAUGAAUUUACAAACCGCAACAUCCGUUGACUAUGACCGGUGUGUGCUGGAGCCAGAGCGGAUCCUCACCAGCUGCAAUUCGUUCCAUUAUCAUGACCUCUACAAGUACUCAGUCCUGCCACUUCCACUCUGCCAGAUCGUGUUCUCCGUUCAUUUUGCUGCUCUGACUCUGGUUCCUGUCUCCUGUUCCACAUCUCACAACCCGGCUACCCUGUUCUGGAUUCAACUCAUCAUCACUCCCUUGGAUUCCCCUCCGGACCUAUUCACCCUGUCCCAACCCAGCUCACUCCAACCUCAGCCUCCACAUCUGGUUUCCUACAACUCAUCCAAGCUUCCCUGGAUCUGCACUUCAUCUCUCCCUGUGUUACAAUAAUUCAUCCCUGUUUCCUGAUCUGAGUCUGCUCUUGGGUUCCCCUGUGCUGCUCCGCUUAACAAGUUAUAACUGCAUGUUCCACCGACAGCCUCUGUUUUUAGAAAACAGCUGCAUGAUCAGGGCCUGAGUUUCCAAUCGCGAUGGAACUUAGGCUUACAGCCAAAGAUGUAACUUGCGUUUUCUAAAACACCACGCAGAGAGAGCAUUCGCUAAGUGAUUCAUUGGAACAUGUGUCGAUACUGAUAGGAUGUAAAGCAAAGCAGUGUCACUUUCUCCAUUCAAAUCUUACCUUGGCAUUAGAAUAACUGCACAAUAUUGAUGAGUGUUCAGCUCCUUGGAGAGAUAUACUGAACAAACAUAUAAACACAAC